UACAGAGGGUGCAAGCGUUGUUCGGAAUUAUUGGGCGUAAAGGGAGUGUAGGCGGUCUUGUAAGUCUUCUGUGAAAUCUACGGGCUUAGCCUGUAACGUGCAGAGGAAACUGUGAGACUAGAGUGUCGGAGAGGAUAGGGGAAUACCCAGUGUAGAGGUGAAAUUCGUAGAGAUUGGGUGGAACACCAGUGGCGAAGGCGCCUGUCUGGCUGACAACUGACGCUGAGACUCGAAAGCAUGGGGAGCAAACAGG
RNAcentral lists this ribosomal RNA (253 nucleotides) under uncultured bacterium. Its description in RNAcentral is "partial 16S ribosomal RNA". It matches the Rfam family "Bacterial small subunit ribosomal RNA", at positions 524 to 776 of the family's 1533-position model. The record is from RNAcentral.